GAUGAACGCUGGCGGCGUGCUUAACACAUGCAAGUCGAACGAUGAAGCCCAGCUUGCUGGGUGGAUUAGUGGCGAACGGGUGAGUAACACGUGAGUAACCUGCCCUUGACUCUGGGAUAAGCCUGGGAAACUGGGUCUAAUACCGGAUAGGAACGUCCACCGCAUGGUGGGUGUUGGAAAGAUUUAUCGGUCAUGGAUGGACUCGCGGCCUAUCAGCUUGUUGGUGAGGUAAUGGCUCACCAAGGCGACGACGGGUAGCCGGCCUGAGAGGGUGACCGGCCACACUGGGACUGAGACACGGCCCAGACUCCUACGGGAGGCAGCAGUGGGGAAUAUUGCACAAUGGGCGAAAGCCUGAUGCAGCGACGCCGCGUGAGGGAUGACGGCCUUCGGGUUGUAAACCUCUUUCAGUAGGGAAGAAGCGAAAGUGACGGUACCUGUAGAAGAAGCACCGGCUAACUACGUG
This 466-nucleotide ribosomal RNA is filed under the name uncultured bacterium. Its description in RNAcentral is "partial 16S ribosomal RNA". It matches the Rfam family "Bacterial small subunit ribosomal RNA", at positions 28 to 507 of the family's 1533-position model. The record is from RNAcentral.